UUGAGCUAACCGAUACUAAUUGCUCGUGCGGCUUGACUAU
RNAcentral lists this ribosomal RNA (40 nucleotides) under Marinobacter sp. DSM 26671. Its description in RNAcentral is "23S rRNA. Bacterial LSU". Lineage: Bacteria; Pseudomonadati; Pseudomonadota; Gammaproteobacteria; Pseudomonadales; Marinobacteraceae. The record is from RNAcentral.